GGCGAACGGGUGAGUAACACGUGGGUGAUCUGCCCUGCACUUCGGGAUAAGCCUGGGAAACUGGGUCUAAUACCGGAUAGGACGAUGGUUUGGAUGCCAUUGUGGAAAGUUUUCGGUGUGGGAUGAGCUCGCGGCCUAUCAGCUUGUUGGUGGGGUAAUGGCCUACCAAGGCGUCGACUGGUAGCCGGCCUGAGAGGGUGGACGGCCACAUUGGGACUGAGAUACGGCCCAG
This 232-nucleotide ribosomal RNA is filed under the name uncultured Actinomycetales bacterium. RNAcentral's name for it is "partial 16S ribosomal RNA". It matches the Rfam family "Bacterial small subunit ribosomal RNA", at positions 97 to 334 of the family's 1533-position model. Lineage: Bacteria; Bacillati; Actinomycetota; Actinomycetes; Actinomycetales. The record is from RNAcentral.